Molecule: ribosomal RNA, 432 nt
Filed under: Actinomyces sp. oral taxon 446
Lineage: Bacteria; Bacillati; Actinomycetota; Actinomycetes; Actinomycetales; Actinomycetaceae
Description: bacterial SSU rRNA
Rfam family: Bacterial small subunit ribosomal RNA
Source: RNAcentral
GACGAACGCUGGCGGCGUGCUUAACACAUGCAAGUCGAACGAUGAAGCGCUGUCUUUUUGGUGGUGUGGAUUAGUGGCGAACGGGUGAGUAAUACGCGGGCAACCUGCCCCUCUGCUUCGGGAUAAGCUUUGGAAACGGGGUCUAAUACCGGAUGUGCCUGUCUGGUCGCAUGGCUGGGCGGGGAAAGAUGUUUUUCGGCGGGGGAUGGGCUCGCGGCCUAUCAGCUUGUUGGUGGGGUGACGGCCUACCAAGGCGUCGACGGGUAGCCGGCCUGAGAGGGUGGUCGGCCACACUGGGACUGAGAUACGGCCCAGACUCCUACGGGAGGCAGCAGUGGGGGAUAUUGCACAAUGGGCGCAAGCCUGAUGCAGCGACGCCGCGUGGGGGAUGGAGGCUUUCGGGUUGUAAACCCCUUUCGGCGCGGGACAAGG